GUGGGGAAUAUUGGACAAUGGGCGAAAGCCUGAUCCAGCCAUGCCGCGUGUGUGAAGAAGGUCUUCGGAUUGUAAAGCACUUUAAGUUGGGAGGAAGGGCAGUAAGUUAAUACCUUGCUGUUUUGACGUUACCGACAGAAUAAGCACCGACUAACUUCGUGCCAGCAGCCGCGGUAAUACGAAGGGUGCAAGCGUUAAUCGGAAUUACUGGGCGUAAAGCGCGCGUAGGUGGUUUUGUAAGUUGGAGGUGAAAUCCCCGGGCUCAACCUGGGAACUGCCUCCAAAACUGCAUGACUAGAGUACGGUAGAGGGUAGUGGAAUUUCCUGUGUAGCGGUGAAAUGCGUAGAUAUAGGAAGGAACACCAGUGGCGAAGGCGACUACCUGGACUGAUACUGACACUGAGGUGCGAAAGCGUGGGGAGCAAACAGGAUUAGAUACCCGGGUAGUCC
RNAcentral lists this ribosomal RNA (450 nucleotides) under uncultured bacterium. RNAcentral describes it as "partial 16S ribosomal RNA". It matches the Rfam family "Bacterial small subunit ribosomal RNA", at positions 354 to 796 of the family's 1533-position model. The record is from RNAcentral.